RNAcentral lists this small RNA (171 nucleotides) under Stenotrophomonas sp. BIIR7. RNAcentral describes it as "Proteobacterial sRNA sX4". It matches the Rfam family "Proteobacterial sRNA sX4". Lineage: Bacteria; Pseudomonadati; Pseudomonadota; Gammaproteobacteria; Lysobacterales; Lysobacteraceae. The record is from Rfam by way of RNAcentral.
GCCGGGGACCAUCUGGAGAGGUGGCAGAGCGGUUGAAUGUACCUGACUCGAAAUCAGGCAGGCGUUUAUAGCGCCUCGGGGGUUCGAAUCCCCCCCUCUCCGCCAGAUUCGCAAAAAAGGCCACCCAUUGGGUGGCCUUUUUUGCGUCUCUGACGGAGAGGGGGGGAUUGC